Transfer RNA from Micromonospora carbonacea, 73 nucleotides. It matches the Rfam family "tRNA". Rfam says of the family: Transfer RNA (tRNA) molecules are approximately 80 nucleotides in length. Their secondary structure includes four short double-helical elements and three loops (D, anti-codon, and T loops). The record is from Rfam. Lineage: Bacteria; Bacillati; Actinomycetota; Actinomycetes; Micromonosporales; Micromonosporaceae.
GGCCCCGUCGUCUAGCGGCCCAGGACGCCGCCCUCUCAAGGCGGUAGCGCGGGUUCGAAUCCCGUCGGGGCUA